This 700-nucleotide ribosomal RNA is filed under the name uncultured soil bacterium. RNAcentral describes it as "bacterial SSU rRNA". It matches the Rfam family "Bacterial small subunit ribosomal RNA", at positions 28 to 776 of the family's 1533-position model. The record is from RNAcentral.
AACGAACGCUGGCGGCAGGCUUAACACAUGCAAGUCGAGCGCCUCGCAAGAGGAGCGGCAGACGGGUGAGUAACGCGUGGGAAUCUACCCAUCUCUACGGAACAACUCCGGGAAACUGGAGCUAAUACCGUAUACGUCCUUCGGGAGAAAGAUUUAUCGGAGAUGGAUAAGCCCGCGUUGGAUUAGCUAGUUAGUGGGGUAAUGGCCUACCAAGGCGACGAUCCAUAGCUGGUCUGAGAGGAUGAUCAGCCACAUUGGGACUGAGACACGGCCCAAACUCCUACGGGAGGCAGCAGUGGGGAAUAUUGGACAAUGGGCGAAAGCCUGAUCCAGCCAUGCCGCGUGAGUGAUGAAGGCCCUAGGGUUGUAAAGCUCUUUCAACGGUGAAGAUAAUGACGGUAACCGUAGAAGAAGCCCCGGCUAACUUCGUGCCAGCAGCCGCGGUAAUACGAAGGGGGCUAGCGUUGUUCGGAAUUACUGGGCGUAAAGCGCACGUAGGCGGAUAUUUAAGUCAGGGGUGAAAUCCCGGGGCUCAACCCCGGAACUGCCUUUGAUACUGGGUAUCUCGAGUCCGAGAGAGGUGAGUGGAAUUCCGAGUGUAGAGGUGAAAUUCGUAGAUAUUCGGAGGAACACCAGUGGCGAAGGCGGCUCACUGGCUCGGUACUGACGCUGAGGUGCGAAAGCGUGGGGAGCAAACAGG